CGUUAGCGGCGGAACGGGUGAGUAACACGUGGGAAAUUGCCUGUAAGACUGGGAUAACUUCGGGAAACCGAAGCUAAUACCGGAUAGGAUCUUCUCCUUCAUGGGAGAUGAUUGAAAGAUGGUUUCGGCUAUCACUUACAGAUGGGCCCGCGGUGCAUUAGCUAGUUGGUGAGGUAACGGCUCACCAAGGCAACGAUGCAUAGCCGACCUGAGAGGGUGAUCGGCCACACUGGGACUGAGACACGGCCCAGACUCCUACGGGAGGCAGCAGUAGGGAAUCUUCCGCAAUGGACGAAAGUCUGACGGAGCAACGCCGCGUGAGUGAUGAAGGCUUUCGGGUCGUAAAACUCUGUUGUUAGGGAAGAAC
RNAcentral lists this ribosomal RNA (367 nucleotides) under Priestia megaterium. RNAcentral's name for it is "bacterial SSU rRNA". It matches the Rfam family "Bacterial small subunit ribosomal RNA", at positions 90 to 450 of the family's 1533-position model. The record is from RNAcentral. Lineage: Bacteria; Bacillati; Bacillota; Bacilli; Caryophanales; Bacillaceae.